RNAcentral lists this ribosomal RNA (440 nucleotides) under uncultured bacterium. RNAcentral describes it as "partial 16S ribosomal RNA". It matches the Rfam family "Bacterial small subunit ribosomal RNA", at positions 338 to 795 of the family's 1533-position model. The record is from RNAcentral.
CCUACGGGAGGCUGCAGUGGGGGAUAUUGCACAAUGGGGGAAACCCUGAUGCAGCGACGCGGCGUGAGUGAAGAAGGAUUUCGGGAUGUAAAGCUCUAUCAGCAGGGAAGAAAAUGACAGUACCUGACCAAGAAGCCCCGGCUAACGACGUGCCAGCAGCCGCGGUAAUACGUAGGGGGCAAGCGUUAUCCGGAUUUACUGGGUGGAAAGGGAGCGUAGACGGUUAUGUAAGUCUGGAGUGAAAGCCCGUGGCCCAACCCCGGGACUGCUUUGGAAACUGUGUAACUGGAGUACAGGAGGGGCAGGCGGAAUUCCUGGUGUAGCGGUGAAAUGCGUAGAUAUCAGGAGGAACACCGGCGGCGAAGGCGGCCUGCUGGACUGAAACUGACGUUGAGGCUCGAAAGCGUGGGGAGCAAACAGGAUUAGAUACCCGGGUAGUC